ACACUCCUGCGGGAGGCAGCAGUGGGGAAUUUUGGACAAUGGGCGAAAGCCUGAUCCAGCAAUGCCGCGUGAGUGAAGAAGGCCUUCGGGUUGUAAAGCUCUUUUGUCAGGGAAGAAACGGUGAGAGCUAAUAUCUCUUGCUAAUGACGGUACCUGAAGAAUAAGCACCGGCUAACUACGUGCCAGCAGCCGCGGUAAUACGUAGGGUGCAAGCGUUAAUCGGAAUUACUGGGCGUAAAGCGUGCGCAGGCGGUUUUGUAAGUCUGAUGUGAAAUCCCCGGGCUCAACCUGGGAAUUGCAUUGGAGACUGCAAGGCUAGAAUCUGGCAGAGGGGGGUAGAAUUCCACGUGUAGCAGUGAAAUGCGUAGAUAUGUGGAGGAACACCGAUGGCGAAGGCAGCCCCCUGGGUCAAGAUUGACGCUCAUGCACGAAAGCGUGGGGAGCAAACAGGAUUAGAAACCCCAGUAGUCCCAUGA
Molecule: ribosomal RNA, 476 nt
Filed under: uncultured organism
Description: partial 16S ribosomal RNA
Rfam family: Bacterial small subunit ribosomal RNA
Source: RNAcentral